AACGAACGCUGGCGGCAUGCCUAACACAUGCAAGUCGAACGAGACCUUCGGGUCUAGUGGCGCACGGGUGCGUAACGCGUGGGAACCUGCCCUUAGGUUCGGAAUAACUCCCCGAAAGGGGUGCUAAUACCGGAUAAUGUCUUCGGACCAAAGAUUUAUCGCCUUUGGAUGGGCCCGCGUUGGAUUAGCUAGUUGGUAGGGUAAAAGCCUACCAAGGCGACGAUCCAUAGCUGGUCUGAGAGGAUGAUCAGCCACACUGGGACUGAGACACGGCCCAGACUCCUACGGGAGGCAGCAGUGGGUAAUAUUGGACAAUGGGCGAAAGCCUGAUCCAGCAAUGCCGCGUGAGUGAUGAAGGCCUUAGGGUUGUAAAGCUCUUUUACCCGGGAUGAUACUGACAGUACCGGGAGAAUAAGCUCCGGCUAACUCCGUG
Molecule: ribosomal RNA, 433 nt
Filed under: uncultured bacterium
Lineage: Bacteria
Description: partial 16S ribosomal RNA
Rfam family: Bacterial small subunit ribosomal RNA
Source: RNAcentral